Molecule: RNA transcript, 3872 nt
Organism: Manihot esculenta (cassava)
Lineage: Eukaryota; Viridiplantae; Streptophyta; Magnoliopsida; Malpighiales; Euphorbiaceae
Gene name: serine/threonine-protein kinase CTR1
Exons: 15
Source: RefSeq, a predicted model, not a curated record
GUGCGAACGAGAUAUCGGGUUCCGGCGCGGACCCGAAAAGUAACAACCUAUAAUUUAUUUUCUUUUUGAUCUCUUUAAUAUUUAAAAGAAAUUCACGGAAUAUUACGAUUGCGCCAUCGAAUAAAACCCGCACGGUUUGCACCGCUUUCGUUCUCUCUCCGACAAAGGAAUUCUAGAGCGAGAGGGGAAAAAAAACAAAACAAAAUUCUGGUCUGGAGAGAGAAAGGAGAAAAGAAAAAAAGAAAACUAAACCAACCAAGUUCAGCUCACCUCUACCAGGCUCCAAAACAUGGCCGUAUUUAGGGUUCUUACGCUUCUUUGAGCUCAAGAAUUCUCAACUGAAGAUCUCCAUGGAAAUGCCCGGUCGAAGACCCAAUUACACGCUUCUUAGCCAGUAUCCCGACGAAAAUCUGGCGGCUGCGCCACCACCGCCGUACUACGACUCGUCUAUCUCUAGUGAUUCUAAGAGCAGCAAACUAAAGCCAGAUAGAAGCUUCGAUUGGGAUUCUAGCGGGGAUCACAAAGUAAAUCAGCAAGGGAAUAGUAAUAGGAUUGGUAAUAUGAACUUGUUCUCGUCGAUCGGUUUGCAAAGGCAAUCGAGCGGGAGUAGUUUCGGUGAGAGUUCGUUGUCCGGAGAGUAUUGUGCCCCGACGCUGUCAACGGCUGGGGGGAAUGAGAUUGAGGCAUAUGGAUACAUGCACGAGGAUGGGAAUUUGAUGAGAGGGAGAGCAGUUGAUGCGGCAGUGAUUCCGGGUAUGGGUACUGGAUCAUCUGUGAAAAGCUGGGCGCAGCAGACGGAGGAGAGUUACCAGUUGCAGUUGGCGUUGGCAUUGAGGUUGUCGUCCGAGGCGACUUGUGCCGAUGAUCCGAACUUUUUGGAUCCGAUGCCGGAUGAGUCCGGGUUGCGGUCGACUAGCUCCAACUCGCCUGAGGCCCUGUCUCAUCGUUUUUGGGUGAAUGGUUGCUUAUCCUACUUUGACAAAAUUCCUGAUGGAUUUUACCAAAUUCAUGGAAUGGAUCCAUAUGUGUGGACUGUAUGCAUUGAUUUGCAAGAGAAUGGUCGUAUUCCAUCUAUUGAGUUGCUAAAGUCUGUUGAUCCUAGUGUUGAUUCUUCGUUGGAAGUGGUUUUAGUUGAUCGACGUAGUGAUCCAAGCUUGAAGGAACUCCAAAAUAGGGUCCACAGCAUUUCUUGCAGCUGUAUAACUACGAAAGAGGUAGUUGAUCAGCUGGCAAAGCUUGUCAGCAAUCGCAUGGGGGGUUUAACCAACAUGGCAGAAGAUGAUCUCGUUUCCAAUUGGAGAGAUUGCAGUAAUGAUCUAAAAGAUUGCUUGGGAUCUGUUGUGGUUCCUAUAGGAAGCCUAUCUGUUGGCCUCUGCAGACAUCGAGCAUUAUUAUUCAAGGUGCUUGCUGACACAAUUGAUUUGCCAUGUCGAAUUGCAAGAGGCUGCAAAUACUGUAAAAGAGAUGAUGCUUCCUCUUGUCUUGUGAGGUUUGGGCUGGAGAGGGAGUAUCUAGUUGAUUUGGUAGGGAAGCCAGGUUGUUUAUGCGAGCCUGAUUCAUUGCUCAAUGGUCCUGCUUCCAUCUCAAUCUCUUCACCGUUGUGCUUUCCCCGAAUGAAAUCAGCUGAACCUAUCAUUGAUUUCAGGACUUUGGCCAAACAAUACUUCUCUGAUUGUCAAUCUCUCAAUAUUGUAUUUGAUGAUGCCUCAGCAGCUACUGUUCUUGAUGAAGCUGCUCCUGGAUUCUCUAUGUAUCCUAAGAAAAUUGAGAGGAUGGAUGCAGAGAGAAAUGACCCUGUGCAAAUCACAACGAACAGCAGUGAGAUUUCUCAGUUACCUCUGCCAAUGAAAGUUGCUCGAACAAGUGCCCAAGAUAGAAAUGCUCAAAAUUUUAAAUCAUAUAAUCCUUCACAGAAUAUUGAGCAAGCAACAAAUUUGAUGAAAGAUCCCAUCCACUUAAAGCAUAUACCAACUAGGGGGCACAGAGAUGUGCAACCACUUCUGUCAUUGUCUGAUCAGAAAGUGGAUACUAGUAAAAAUUCAAGGUUUUCUGAAGGUUUUCAACUAGUUUCUAGCAAAACAAGUAAUGAGCUUUCACUUGGUGAUGUGGAGGAUUUGGACAUCCCAUGGGGUGAUCUUAUUUUGAAAGAAAGAAUUGGGGCAGGUUCUUUUGGAACUGUUCACCGUGCUGAUUGGCAUGGCUCGGAUGUUGCUGUGAAAAUUCUCAUGGAACAAGACUUUCAUGCUGAACGGUUCAAGGAAUUUUUGAGGGAGGUUGCAAUAAUGAAGCGCCUACGACAUCCAAACAUAGUUCUUUUCAUGGGUGCGGUUACUAAGCCACCAAACUUGUCCAUAGUAACGGAAUAUUUAUCAAGAGGUAGCUUGUAUAGGCUCUUGCACAAGUCUGGUGCAAGAGAGGUGCUGGAUGAAAGGCGUAGAUUGAAUAUGGCUUAUGAUGUGGCAAAGGGUAUGAAUUAUCUUCACAAACGCAAUCCUCCAAUUGUUCAUAGAGAUUUAAAAUCACCAAAUCUAUUGGUUGACAAAAAAUAUACAGUGAAGGUUUGUGAUUUUGGGCUCUCUCGUCUGAAAGCAAACACAUUUCUUUCAUCAAAGUCAGCAGCAGGGACUCCUGAGUGGAUGGCACCAGAAGUUCUACGUGAUGAACCAUCAAAUGAAAAAUCAGAUGUAUACAGUUUUGGUGUCAUAUUGUGGGAGCUUGCAACACUGCAACAACCCUGGAGCAAUUUAAAUCCUGCACAGGUUUGUUUUCUGAAAUUGCAUGAUUGCAGUAGAAUUAUGGAACAAAAACGGCUGAGGUUUUUUUCUCUGUGGACACUUGUACCGGGAAAAUUUUACAAAUCCAUGUUUAGGAAAUUGUUGAACGAGAAUUGUGCCACUCUGAUAGUAGGCAGGUUGAAAUAAUAAAAAGUUGUCUUCUGUUUGAGGUGACUUCAAUUCACAGGACUCACGCAAAAGCUUAUGCCUUCUUGAGGAGGACUGGUAUAUAUAAUUAUUGUUUUAUGCAAACUGUUACAUAAAUAUCCUGUUAAAAAAUUGGUGACCUCUGUCUUUUGUUCUUUGUUUUGAUUGGGUUUCAUGUUUGUCAUAAAUGGUUCCAAAUUCUAGCAUUUUUUUCAACUACUAUCAAUGGACUGGUUGCUAAAACAGAGUCAGUUUUGCCCUUUGAGACUUAUUUUCAUAGUUGGAAGGUGAAUGUUUAGAAGUUGCAACUACGCCUGUAUGCUUUAUGGUGCUCAUUAAGUUGCUGGAAGACAACAAUGCGUAUACGUGUAUAUAUAUGUAUAUAUAGCAUUCAAUAAGACUUCCAUGGGAUUAUUCUGGCCGUCAUUACAUAUGUUGUGGCAGCUGUUGGAUUUAAGGGCAAGAGACUUGAAAUUCCCCGAGAUUUAAAUCCUCAAGUUGCUACCAUAAUUGAGGCUUGCUGGGCAAAUGAGCCUUGGAAACGGCCUUCCUUUGCAACUAUUAUGGAAUCUUUGAGAGCAUUGAUUAAACCUCCUACGCCUCCAACUGGUCACGCGGAAAUGCCAUUACUUACCUGAAGUCCUGAAUAAUGUUGAACACUAGUGAAGUCUUCUUUUGUGCACAUAUUACAUCACACGCAUUCUUUUGACAAUUGAUAACUGGCAGGGAUAAUCUAUUUAGAUACUCUCAGGUUUGUUUUUCUAAUUUCUUCAACUUUGAUUUACCUAGACUUGUUGCUGACCUGCACAGAAGUAAUGUUAUUUUUAUUGGUAGAGAUGCUCGUCAAAUUGUAGGAAAUGAAUAGCAGUUUAAAUUUAGAGCGUUAGCAGUGUACAAAGCACACCCAUGUAUCCGCUCUUUUAAGUUCUUCAGUGCAUAUUUGCUUUCACA